CAAUUUUUUAACAGUGACAGUAAUUAUUUCCAGUCUGAAUUUGUCCAAUUUCAACUUCCAGACCACUGGAGUUAAGAUCAAGAUAUAAGCAGACAAGGGAGUAACAUCUUCAGAAAACACUGAGCAAGUUAGUCAAGAAUCCCAGUGGGGGAGCUGUUCUAAGGACACUAGGUCCCAGCAACCUGCUCCCCUCUCCAGGAGGCAUCAUUCCCCACCAUUAACACCAGCUGAACCUUUAAUAGGACAGACUUUUACAAAGCCCCUUCUCUCCCAGAAGGGUCUCAGCUACCAUCAACAACCAGAAAGGAAGUAAGAGAGCCAGCUUGCCCUGUGACACUGAGAAAAGAUGAGGGUCACAGUGAUAUCAUCAGAGAGUUACUCAGCUAGGUA
Molecule: long non-coding RNA, 390 nt
Organism: Mauremys mutica (yellowpond turtle)
Lineage: Eukaryota; Metazoa; Chordata; Testudines; Geoemydidae
Exons: 3
Source: RefSeq, a predicted model, not a curated record